This 116-nucleotide ribosomal RNA is filed under the name Escherichia coli. Lineage: Bacteria; Pseudomonadati; Pseudomonadota; Gammaproteobacteria; Enterobacterales; Enterobacteriaceae. The record is from RNAcentral. RNAcentral also lists the same sequence under 14 other names.
CUUGGCGGCAGUAGCGCGGUGGUCCCACCUGACCCCAUGCCGAACUCAGAAGUGAAACGCCGUAGCGCCGAUGGUAGUGUGGGGUCUCCCCAUGCGAGAGUAGGGAACUGCCAGGC